CGCUGCGUUCUGGGAUGACGGCGGGCCUCAUGAGCCCGAACCGCGGUGGUUCGAGUCCACUCGCAGCGA
RNAcentral lists this transfer RNA (69 nucleotides) under Polyangiaceae bacterium. Its description in RNAcentral is "tRNA-Met". The record is from RNAcentral. Lineage: Bacteria; Pseudomonadati; Myxococcota; Polyangiales; Polyangiaceae.